GUAAGUACACCUAUGACAAACGCGAAGCUGCAUCCUAGUGCCGUGAGAAGUUAAAAACAAGAGGGCUCUUUUAAUUUCUUGUCUGAGGAACAAGUGUUUGGAUGGAGACUUAGCUAAGACCCUCCAGGGAAGACCACAGAAAACAACAACCAAAAAGGUCUAACCAGGCCCCCUUCUGGGUGACCUCCACUAAACACUGUUCUCCACCUUCUCCUCGUAAUCCAAAUCCUCCACCCCACCGUGUCUGCCCACCACCUGUGAACAGGCCAGAUCAGGAGAGGACUCUUAGGCGGGUGGCCCAGGUACUCUCUUCCUGGUGGCAGGUGACAAACCUUUCUCCACUCUCACA
Molecule: long non-coding RNA, 349 nt
Filed under: Heterocephalus glaber (naked mole-rat)
Lineage: Eukaryota; Metazoa; Chordata; Mammalia; Rodentia; Bathyergidae
Description: lncRNA (ENSHGLG00000049567.1)
Source: RNAcentral